RNAcentral lists this long non-coding RNA (2017 nucleotides) under Ananas comosus (pineapple). RNAcentral's name for it is "long non-coding RNA (ACOM_LNC043687)". Lineage: Eukaryota; Viridiplantae; Streptophyta; Magnoliopsida; Poales; Bromeliaceae. The record is from RNAcentral.
UUGGCCUCCAAGUUAUCCAAGAACACUAUUCACUCCAGGCAGUUCCAAAUCUGAUAUCUUUCGCCGGAGCCCUCUGAAUAUCCGUUUGAGCUCAAAUUUGACAGUCAUGUUCGGUUUAAUGUACUGAACAAGAAUAUAUUUUAAGUUUUCAGUUUUGACUCCGUUUGGUCACUGAAAACUGUGCCGAACUGCAAUCUUUAUCAGAUAGCUUUCGGAUUUUAUUUCUCACUCUACGGGUGUCAGAAAAAUAUGAAACCUUAAAUCUAGCAUCAUAAAAAUAUUUCUGACAUCCCCGCCAAUUUUCAUAAUUUUCUGAGACUGUUCAUUUUCUGCUAAUUAUCUGUCCCAUUUUCAACAGAAAAUUCUAAAUCUUCUGUUUUCGCUCCGAUUUCAGCACAGGUCAUUCCCAACCUAUAUUUCACUUCUCUAAAUCCAAUAAAAAUAGUAUCUCAUACUAUUUUUAUUUAUUUUCACUUUUAUAUUUAAAAUCCGGUAUGUUACAUUCCGCCGCAACCUCACCGGAGCCAUUUAAAUGUACACCGUAACUUCAUAGUUUUAGAAGUCCGGUACCUUACAAGGUUUUACUCUUUGUUCGAUUGAAUAAAAAAAAGUACUCGUUGCAAUGUUAUACUGUUAGGGCUCAACUGAGAAGUCUAACGUUGUUCCGAUUUUGGUUCUUGUGAACGUUGACAUCGAUUCGUUCCAUAUUUACACUCUUGGGGUAUAAUAGAAAACUUUUACUCCUUGUUCGAUAGAAUAAGAAAAAUUACUCGUUGCAAAGUUAUACUGUUAUGGCGCAACUGAGUAGUCUAAUGUUGUUCCGGUUUUGGUUCUUGUGAACGCUGACAUCGAUUCGUUCUAAAUUUACACUCUUGGGGCAUAAUAGAAAGCUUUUACUCCUUGUUCGAUAGAAUGAGAAAAAGUACUCGUUGCAAAGUUAUACUGUUAUGGCGCAACUGAGUAGUCUAAUUGUCACGCCCCGCCCCAAUCCCGCUACCAAUUUGGCGCGGUUCGGGCGCGGCGGGCGUGAGGCCGAACAGACAGAACCUCCCCUGUCCGCCCUAGGCUCACAACGAGAUUGUGUACAACAAGUCCCCAGGAACAAUCAACUUGUAAACAUACACAAUCAACCACGACGACGAGAGCACAAACAGUGCUAAUACAAGCGAGAGCAAGCGAUACGAGUAAGUAACAUACAAGUAUACAAAAGAGAGAUAAACUUAACUAUUUAAACAUAAAACUUUGAUACAUUAACCUCUUUUAACAUCAUUAAACUUUACCCAUUUAAUACAACUUGCAUUCUUUUUCAAAAUGUAAAUACAUACAUCCUCUCAAACCUCACCCUAUACAUCAUCUACUCUCAAAAUGUAAACAUAGGGUAGGACUAAUGCAAUAUAGGAAGCAAACUAUCAACCAACACCGCUAGGGCGCUACGCCCUUGCCGCGAUCCUCCCGCUCGCCGGGAAUACUCGAACUAGCACCUGCAACAUGGUGGGGUGAGAACUACGAAUAGUUCCCAGUGGGUUCGGCCGCCGACUCCACCGAUCUACCCACUAGGUCUAAGCAGGCAUAGAGAGAUAUAUAUGCAAGUAUAUAUAAAACUAUGCUAAACUGAAGGCAGGUAUGGAAACUGAGCAGGUAGCUAGUGUAAGUAAGUAAGUAAAGUAUGAACAUCUAACUAUGCCUCAAUCUGAUAUCAUGAAUGCAUGAACAAUAAACAAAGCUGGGUAAGAAGCUACUAUCAUGAACAACAAUAAGGCUAUGUAAACAGCUAUGCUGAACAACAGUAAUGAGUAUGACUCGAUAGGUAAUCAAAUCUCAAGGUGAACUCAAGGUUCACUAUCUCAUCUCACNUCGGUCUUGAGUCAAUUAACUGCGGAUAAUCCGCCCUCAGUCAGGCUCGAGGUGAAGGACGUCUCACAUGCACCUCAGUCUUAAAUCCUCUCGACUAUAGGUCUACUCACAGGGUGAGGAUAUCCGUCGAACCCCGGACCACAAGUCGCUCAAUGGACCCACG